Molecule: long non-coding RNA, 297 nt
Filed under: Aotus nancymaae (Ma's night monkey)
Lineage: Eukaryota; Metazoa; Chordata; Mammalia; Primates; Aotidae
Description: lncRNA (ENSANAG00000038999.1)
Source: RNAcentral
UGAGAACUUGGGUGAGGCUUGAAAGAGAAUUCUCAGGAAAACACCUUGCCCUCCCUGAAGGUUACGCUCCUGGCGGAAGUAGUUAACCAGAGUAAGACAAAAGCAGGUGCUCGCUAGAAGAAAAACCUGGACCACCUGCUUGGAACACCUUCCUGUCUUCUGCUCUACACGCUGUCCCUCCCAUUUUUCAGCAAGCUCUUGGGAUUGCACUACACCAGAGGGUUGAAAACGCCUGCAGUGGCAUUCCAGAAAGGGAAGGGUCCUAGGGGACAGCCAGGAGACCUUAACUUCAUACCU